RNAcentral lists this ribosomal RNA (377 nucleotides) under Streptomyces gougerotii. RNAcentral's name for it is "bacterial SSU rRNA". It matches the Rfam family "Bacterial small subunit ribosomal RNA", at positions 985 to 1357 of the family's 1533-position model. The record is from RNAcentral. Lineage: Bacteria; Bacillati; Actinomycetota; Actinomycetes; Kitasatosporales; Streptomycetaceae.
CAUACUCCGGAAAGCAUCAGAGAUGGUGCCCCCCUUGUGGUCGGUGUACAGGUGGUGCAUGGCGGUUGUCAGUUGGUGUCGUGAGAUGUUGGGAUAAGUCCCGCAACGAGCGCAACCCUUGUCCCGUGUUGCCAGCAGGCCCUUGUGGUGCUGGGGACUCACGGGAGACCGCCGGGGUCAACUCGGAGGAAGGUGGGGACGACGUCAAGUCAUCAUGCCCCUUAUGUCUUGGGCUGCACACGUGCUACAAUGGCCGGUACAAUGAGCUGCGAUACCGUGAGGUGGAGCGAAUCUCAAAAAGCCGGUCUCAGUUCGGAUUGGGGUCUGCAACUCGACCCCAUGAAGUCGGAGUCGCUAGUAAUCGCAGAUCAGCAUUG